UGGGGAAUAUUGCACAAUGGGCGCAAGCCUGAUGCAGCCAUGCCGCGUGUGUGAAGAAGGCCUUCGGGUUGUAAAGCACUUUCAGCGAGGAGGAAGGUGGUGAGCUUAAUACGCUCAUCAAUUGACGUUACUCGCAGAAGAAGCACCGGCUAACUCCGUGCCAGCAGCCGCGGUAAUACGGAGGGUGCAAGCGUUAAUCGGAAUUACUGGGCGUAAAGCGCACGCAGGCGGUUUGUUAAGUCAGAUGUGAGAUCCCCGGGCUCAACCUGGGAACUGCAUUUGAAACUGGCAAGCUAGAGUCUCGUAGAGGGGGGUAGAAUUCCAGGUGUAGCGGUGAAAUGCGUAGAGAUCUGGAGGAAUACCGGUGGCGAAGGCGGCCCCCUGGACGAAGACUGACGCUCAGGUGCGAAAGCGUGGGGAGCAAACAGGAUUAGAGUACCCUGGUAGUCCACGCUGUAAACCGAUGUCGAUUUGGAGGUUGUGCCCUUGAGGCGUGGCUUCCGGAGCUAACGCGUUAAAUCGACCGCCUGGGGAGUACGGCCGCAAGGUUAAAACUCAAAGGAAUUGACGGGGUCAUAGC
This 580-nucleotide ribosomal RNA is filed under the name uncultured bacterium. RNAcentral's name for it is "partial 16S ribosomal RNA". It matches the Rfam family "Bacterial small subunit ribosomal RNA", at positions 355 to 925 of the family's 1533-position model. The record is from RNAcentral.